CAAUGUUGAUCUAUUUUAUUUUGCCAUUUUUAAUUAAACUACUUUCCCCUCUCCUAAAAUGUUGAGAACAUUGAAUGCUAUACCUUUCUGGGAAGUGGUUAUCAUACAGAAUUCAUAUUUCUAAAUUGUGAUUUAGUAAGUAUUAGCAGAGUGUUGAGUGGUAACCAGAUUAAAAAAGAAAGAAAUUCAAAUGCCGUUUUUCUGUAUGAGGCUGUAUAUGUUAGUUAGGAUAAUUUUAUUAUGUUUGAAAGAUUUGAUUUAAACCUUCUCAAGUUGUGUGUGUUUUGGCCACAUUUAUUUUGAUUUUAAGCCAAACAAGUGAUCCAUGCAACAGAUUCUAUUUUAAUCCUGAUGUUUAUUAUGAAAUCAGUGAUAUAUUACAUUGCAGUAAUGAGAAGCCAACAGUAUACUGAAUUGACUUAGAUGUAUUAAUAAAUUCCUUCAUGCAUCAAUAUGAGCUGCCCACUCUGUGCUCAGCUUCAUGUUACACACUGGGGUUUCAAUGCUGAAGAAAAUGGUGAACUAUAAGUUGAUCCCAUCUCCUUGAUAAAGGAAGACAUAUUCAUAAUGGUUUUCCAAGAGAGAUACCAGUAUAAAAGUUUCUUGUUUAAAGAAGAGGGGAAGUUACAGUUGUCAUCUGCUUACCUGGUAGAACUUUUAAACCUGGUCAUAUUCUAAAUGGGGAAUCCUCUUCCCAUUGAUACUUUAACAGCAAAUGUAUUAAAGGAAACUUAGAAAGACCUUUGAAAUUUCAUAGACUAUAGAUAUUUCUUGAAGCACUCAGUGACUAUACAUUUUAUAGUUCAAGAAACUUUGCUUUUCUCUUGGCUUCUUUCAGUGUCCAAUAGAAAGUGUGCUUGAGUGUCAA
Molecule: long non-coding RNA, 868 nt
Filed under: Bos taurus (domestic cattle)
Lineage: Eukaryota; Metazoa; Chordata; Mammalia; Artiodactyla; Bovidae
Description: long non-coding RNA NONBTAT001744
Source: RNAcentral